RNAcentral lists this transfer RNA (62 nucleotides) under Polydesmus sp. GZCS-2019. RNAcentral's name for it is "tRNA-Ala". The record is from RNAcentral. Lineage: Eukaryota; Metazoa; Arthropoda; Diplopoda; Polydesmida; Polydesmidae.
AGGUUGGUAGUUAAAAUAUAAUGUUUAAUUUGCGUUUAAGAGUUACUAAUAAGUGCGGCCUG